RNAcentral lists this unclassified non-coding RNA (206 nucleotides) under Hevea brasiliensis (rubber tree). Lineage: Eukaryota; Viridiplantae; Streptophyta; Magnoliopsida; Malpighiales; Euphorbiaceae. The record is from RNAcentral.
AAAAGAGAGAGAGAGAGAGAGAAGCUGCUAGACUGCACAGGGUUUUACAAGUAUAAAGCAUAAAAAGAUUUUCAUAAUGUCUAACCUCUUUCAAAUUAAAUUACUGUACAGAUUUAACUGCACUACGCUGCUCCAAAAUUCUAAAACUCAAGUAUGCAAAUAAUCACAUGCAGCUCCUUUUAUGCAAUGCCCACUUUCAUGGUACU